UGGGGAAUAUUGCACAAUGGGCGCAAGCCUGAUGCAGCCAUGCCGCGUGUGUGAAGAAGGCCUUCGGGUUGUAAAGCACUUUCAGCGGGGAGGAAGGCGGUGAGGUUAAUAACCUCACCGAUUGAAGUUACCCGCAGAAGAAGCACCGGCUAACUCCGGGCCCGCAGCCGCGGUAAUACGGAGGGUGCAAGCGUUAAUCGGAAUUACUGGGCGUAAAGCGCACGCAGUCGGUCUGUCAAAUAGGAUGUGAAAUCCCCGGGCUCAACCUGGGAACUGCAUUCGAAACUGGCAGGCUAGAGUCUUGUAGAGGGGGGUAGAAUACCAGGUGUAGCGGUGAAAUGCGGAGAGAUCUGGGGGAAUACCGGUGGCGAAGGCGGCCCCCUGGACAAAGACUGACGCUCAGGUGCGAAAGCGGGGGGAGCAAACAGG
This 429-nucleotide ribosomal RNA is filed under the name Chloroflexota bacterium. RNAcentral describes it as "Chloroflexi bacterium partial 16S ribosomal RNA". It matches the Rfam family "Bacterial small subunit ribosomal RNA", at positions 355 to 776 of the family's 1533-position model. The record is from RNAcentral. Lineage: Bacteria; Bacillati; Chloroflexota.